CUUCCAGAUCGUUCAUCACCGGUGUCCCUCUCUCUUCGUCUUUCACCGCAGACAGAUAUACUGAUGCUGAGCACUGGACAUGCAGAGACAAGGGUUGUGUUGUUUUUGAAGAGGAACACGGUCUGUCUGUCCACCAGCAGGUGAAGGAGACAAAGAAGAGUUGUAGCAUUCAUCCUCAUGUCUGAGUGAAGAAUAACCACACGGUGUGUUGACAGAGAACUGUUCACUGAAAGGUUCUUUUGGAGGAAGUCCUUCUAUGUCAAGAAAACCCCCUUUUAAGAAUGGAAUCAUAGACCAAUCAAACACAGAGGCAGCAGUAUGGACGUGAUAUUCGAGAGUUGUUGGGAGGAUGUUAUGCUUCCUGUGCGAAUCGACUUCUGACCCAGUCCAUCCUCUCUACCUGGAGCCAGACCACGUCUCCACUUUUCCUCUCUUCUCUUUUCUCACUAUACUGUAGCUCCUUCCAACAAACAUAACUGUUGCCUUAGUGCUGCAUGACUGACUUGCCAGCUAAGACUUUUCUCCUGAGCGCCACUGUAUAAAAUCUGCUAUUCUCUGCACCCACGGUCUCUCAUCUGCUCUAAUGUGGGCUGACGCCCCCCUCUUUGAAGUCUAUGGGUGCUGUGAACCUGGGCCCACCCAACAAAAGCAGGCUGAUCCGUGGCUGACACUCCAGCAGACCCACUUAUGCUGACAUAGGAUUGGAAAAAAGACAAGGCCUUUUUUUCCUAAGAAGCUUUCUUUCACGCUAGAGCUUCUCCUGAGACCUGAGACAGUUUGACGUCAGAAUUUGAUUUGUUUCAUUGGUGUCAAAGCAAUAUGUAUCAAGUUGUGAAAUUGAACUGCUUUAGAUCAUAUCAAAUAAAUAUCCUUCAGCAAGCAGCUUGCAUUCUUUACAUUUCUUGCGAUGCAUCCAUGGUAUAGAGAUGCAAUGUGCAUGUAAAGUUUUGGUGGUUAAUCCAGUGGGAAUAAUUAUAUGGAUAUGUACUGUAAUUAUAUGGAUGUGUGAACCUGUUCAUAAAAUCUGAGUAGCAGACC
Long non-coding RNA from Cyprinus carpio carpio, 1038 nucleotides. NCBI's taxonomy places the organism in Eukaryota, Metazoa, Chordata, Actinopteri, Cypriniformes, Cyprinidae. The record is from Ensembl.